Molecule: long non-coding RNA, 704 nt
Organism: Onychomys torridus (southern grasshopper mouse)
Lineage: Eukaryota; Metazoa; Chordata; Mammalia; Rodentia; Cricetidae
Exons: 4
Source: RefSeq, a predicted model, not a curated record
AAAGAGCAGAAGCUUAAAGGCUUCCAAAGGGCUGGAAACUAGGCUUUGGAAGAGGGGCUUUAUGAAUGAAUUGUGCCCCCACCCAAAGGAUGCAGAACUAACAGAUACAAGGGAUCAACUGGCCUUCAGAGAUGGCAUCUUGAAGAAAUGUCUUCAGGGACAGGAAGAUAGCUCCACAGGCUCCAGCGUGCCACUGAGGCAGACCCUAUGAGAGUCAGCCCGUCAGGACACAAUGCACGACGGAGAAGGAUGAAGAGAGGACCAGGAAGAGUUUGAGAAACAUUCGAAUGAUGCCCACUGCUGCUUCUCAUGGGAAACAAAGGAUGCUGGGCAGAUCUCCUAUCAGGAGCCAUUGAAGAGAUUUAAAACACCUCGGGGCCUCUGAGCACGUCUUCAACUUCUCUUAGGAAACUACAUGACUGAGAAGGUGUUCGCUAUUAGUUUUAUGGAAGCACAAUAGUUAAGAUGCACUCAGUCAAGUUUUAACAUACACAUACACACAUACAUGUAGCAGGACUUUCUUUGUACUACCAGCUCCCAGAUAAUGACAUGGAGACUUCUUAAGAAUGAAAGCUUGGCUUUAGCUUAGACUUGUUCCCAACUAGCUUUACCUCUCCUUCAUACUGUACAUCUGACUUACUUUGAAUCUCUCUGGUGAAUCCUGCCUCUCUUCUUCCCAGAGUUCCUACUUCUUUCCGGAAGUC